UUAUAUGAGAGUUUGAUCCUGGCUCAGGAUGAACGCUGGCGGCGUGCCUAAUACAUGCAAGUCGAACGAGUUCUGAUUAUUGAAAGGUGCUUGCAUCUUGAUUUAAUUUUGAACGAGUGGCGGACGGGUGAGUAACACGUGGGUAACCUGCCCUUAAGUGGGGGAUAACAUUUGGAAACAGAUGCUAAUACCGCAUAAAUCCAAGAACCGCAUGGUUCUUGGCUGAAAGAUGGCGUAAGCUAUCGCUUUUGGAUGGACCCGCGGCGUAUUAGCUAGUUGGUGAGGUAACGGCUCACCAAGGCAAUGAUACGUAGCCGAACUGAGAGGUUGAUCGGCCACAUUGGGACUGAGACACGGCCCAAACUCCUACGGGAGGCAGCAGUAGGGAAUCUUCCACAAUGGACGCAAGUCUGAUGGAGCAACGCCGCGUGAGUGAAGAAGGCUUUCGGGUCGUAAAACUCUGUUGUUGGAGAAGAAUGGUCGGCAGAGUAACUGUUGUCGGCGUGACGGUAUCCAACCAGAAAGCCACGGCUAACUACGUGCCAGCAGCCGCGGUAAUACGUAGGUGGCAAGCGUUAUCCGGAUUUAUUGGGCGUAAAGCGAGCGCAGGCGGUUUUUUAAGUCUGAUGUGAAAGCCCUCGGCUUAACCGAGGAAGUGCAUCGGAAACUGGAAAACUUGAGUGCAGAAGAGGACAGUGGAACUCCAUGUGUAGCGGUGAAAUGCGUAGAUAUAUGGAAGAACACCAGUGGCGAAGGCGGCUGUCUGGUCUGUAACUGACGCUGAGGCUCGAAAGCAUGGGUAGCGAACAGGAUUAGAUACCCUGGUAGUCCAUGCCGUAAACGAUGAAUGCUAGGUGUUGGAGGGUUUCCGCCCUUCAGUGCCGCAGCUAACGCAUUAAGCAUUCCGCCUGGGGAGUACGACCGCAAGGUUGAAACUCAAAGGAAUUGACGGGGGCCCGCACAAGCGGUGGAGCAUGUGGUUUAAUUCGAAGCAACGCGAAGAACCUUACCAGGUCUUGACAUCUUUUGAUCACCUGAGAGAUCGGGUUUCCCCUUCGGGGCAAAAUGACAGGUGGUGCAUGGUUGUCGUCAGCUCGUGUCGUGAGAUGUUGGGUUAAGUCCCGCAACGAGCGCAACCCUUAUGACUAGUUGCCAGCAUUUAGUUGGGCACUCUAGUAAGACUGCCGGUGACAAACCGGAGGAAGGUGGGGAUGACGUCAAAUCAUCAUGCCCCUUAUGACCUGGGCUACACACGUGCUACAAUGGAUGGUACAACGAGUUGCGAGACCGCGAGGUCAAGCUAAUCUCUUAAAGCCAUUCUCAGUUCGGACUGUAGGCUGCAACUCGCCUACACGAAGUCGGAAUCGCUAGUAAUCGCGGAUCAGCACGCCGCGGUGAAUACGUUCCCGGGCCUUGUACACACCGCCCGUCACACCAUGAGAGUUUGUAACACCCGAAGCCGGUGGCGUAACCCUUUUAGGGAGCGAGCCGUCUAAGGUGGGACAAAUGAUUAGGGUGAAGUCGUAACAAGGUAGCCGUAGGAGAACCUGCGGCUGGAUCACCUCCUUU
RNAcentral lists this ribosomal RNA (1569 nucleotides) under Lacticaseibacillus rhamnosus. RNAcentral's name for it is "bacterial SSU rRNA". It matches the Rfam family "Bacterial small subunit ribosomal RNA". Lineage: Bacteria; Bacillati; Bacillota; Bacilli; Lactobacillales; Lactobacillaceae. The record is from RNAcentral.